GCAGCAGCCGCGGUAACACGUAGGGUGCGAGCGUUAAUCGGAAUUACUGGGCGUAAAGCGUGCGCAGGCGGUUGUGUAAGACAGGUGUGAAAUCCCCGGGCUUAACCUGGGAACUGCGCUUGUGACUGCACAGCUAGAGUAUGGCAGAGGGGGGUGGAAUUCCACGUGUAGCAGUGAAAUGCGUAGAGAUGUGGAGGAACACCGAUGGCGAAGGCAGCCCCCUGGGCCAAUACUGACGCUCAUGCACGAAAGCGUGGGGAGCAAACAGGAUUAGAUACCCGCGUAGUCCCUGUCUCUUAUAC
This 302-nucleotide ribosomal RNA is filed under the name uncultured bacterium. Its description in RNAcentral is "partial 16S ribosomal RNA". It matches the Rfam family "Bacterial small subunit ribosomal RNA", at positions 508 to 807 of the family's 1533-position model. The record is from RNAcentral.